ACUAACUAGAAUCAGGGGCCGGGAUGACCCAGCCCUCCCGAUUGACGAACUGAAGCUCGGACAGACUAUGCGUCGGAUGGCCGUUCCCCAUCCGGCGUGAAAGUACCCAAAAAUUUCAGGCAACGACCUGAAAUACGGGUACAAGCUUCUCAUCAAUCUUCGAGGGUAGCGUAACUCGCUACCCUCAAUUUUUUCUCGGAG
RNAcentral lists this small RNA (201 nucleotides) under Buttiauxella agrestis ATCC 33320. RNAcentral's name for it is "sroC RNA". It matches the Rfam family "sroC RNA". From Rfam's summary of the family: This family consists of a number of bacterial sroC RNA genes of around 160 bases in length. sroC is found in several Enterobacterial species. Lineage: Bacteria; Pseudomonadati; Pseudomonadota; Gammaproteobacteria; Enterobacterales; Enterobacteriaceae. The record is from Rfam by way of RNAcentral.